Molecule: small nuclear RNA, 148 nt
Organism: Mustela erminea (ermine)
Lineage: Eukaryota; Metazoa; Chordata; Mammalia; Carnivora; Mustelidae
Product: U4 spliceosomal RNA
Exons: 1
Source: RefSeq, a predicted model, not a curated record
AGCUUUGCGCAGUGGCAGUAUCGUAGCCAAUGAGGUUUAUCCGAGGCGCGAUUAUUGCUAAUUGAGAAUAUACUGUAUUAAUUUUUACUGAAAGUAGGUUUUUUUAAUACAUCAAGAAAGUCAUUGCUUGUAGACUACAUUUACUAGU